RNAcentral lists this ribosomal RNA (253 nucleotides) under uncultured bacterium. RNAcentral's name for it is "partial 16S ribosomal RNA". It matches the Rfam family "Bacterial small subunit ribosomal RNA", at positions 524 to 776 of the family's 1533-position model. The record is from RNAcentral.
UACAGAGGUCCCAAGCGUUGUUCGGAUUCAUUGGGCGUAAAGGGUGCGUAGGCGGCGCGGUAAGUCGGGUGUGAAAUCUCGGAGCUUAACUCCGAAACUGCAUUCGAUACUGCCGUGCUUGAGGACUGGAGUGGAGACUGGAAUUUACGGUGUAGCGGUGAAAUGCGUAGAUAUCGUAAGGAAGACCAGUGGCGAAGGCGGGUCUCUGGACAGUUCCUGACGCUGAGGCACGAAGGCCAGGGGAGCAAACGGG